Eurytemora carolleeae is the source of this 474-nucleotide long non-coding RNA. RefSeq lists it as uncharacterized. The transcript has 2 exons. Lineage: Eukaryota; Metazoa; Arthropoda; Copepoda; Calanoida; Temoridae. The record is from RefSeq and is a predicted model, not a curated record.
UUUAGAUUGCAUAUUUUGCAGGGGUUGGGUAUGAUGGCUACAGCUAAGAGGAAAGUGUCCAAAGCUGGGUCAGUCUCAAGCACUGAGGAGAACUCUCCCAGGAUGCAAAGGCGUAUCUCCAUGGAAAUGUACGAUAAGCCUAACCUACGCAGAUUCUCGGUCACCCAUUAAAGAGUAAAGACGACUUUCGAAAAUAAGUCUUUGAAAAAUUCGAUUUUUAAAAAACGAUCUAAAUGAGAUUUUUGAUGCAGUAAUUAAUUUUGAAACUGUUUUUUUAUUGCUUAAUAUUUAAGCCUACCAGUUCUAAAAUAUUUUAACAUUUUGUUUGUUAUGCAUUUUUGUAACUUGUGGUUUUUAGAAGUAUUCAUGUUAUUUCAGUUUGUAAUUUACAGCUAAACUUUGGCGUAAAAUCGACUUAAAAAUACCUCAAAUUGUAUUAUUAUCAUUGUUGCUAAAUAAAUUUUUCCAAGUUCA